GAACCAAGGACCUCACAGUCAUUGUCCUCCUCCUCCACUACAAGCCUCCCUCCCACCACUGGGGCCUCCACCACUGUCUACUCAAUGGAAGCCAACGGUGAUCCCUGUGCCGAUUUUGAUCCAGAAAAGGAGGAAGGGGAAGUGCAGUACUUGGUUAAAUGGAAAGGUUGGUCAUACAUCCACAGCACAUGGGAAAGUGAGGACUCCUUGCAGCAGCAGAAAGUGAAAGGCAUUAAGAAGCUGGAGAACUUCAAGAAGAAAGAAGAAGACAUCAACAGUUGGUUGGAAAAGGUCACCCCAGAAGACGUAGAGUAUUUCAACUGCCAACAGGAACUGGCAGCUGAGUUGAACAAACAGUACCAGAUUGUGGAAAGAGUGAUUGUUCACAACCGCAAGUCCUCCUCUAAUGAGCCAGAGUACCUUUGCAAGUGGAUGGGACUUCCCUACGCAGAAUGUAGCUGGGAAGAUGAAGCUCUGAUCAGCAAAAAAUUCCAGUACUGUAUUGAUAGCUUCAACAAUAGGAACAACUCCAAAGCCAUGCCUACUCGGGACUGCAAGGUGCUGAAGCAAAGGCCUCGUUUUGUGGCCUUGAAGAACCAACCUUCCUACAUUGGUGGGGAGAAUCUGGAACUCCGCGACUAUCAGCUGGAGGGCUUGAAUUGGUUGGCUCAUUCUUGGUGCAAGAACAACAGUGUCAUCCUGGCGGACGAGAUGGGCUUGGGGAAGACCAUCCAGACCAUUUCUUUCCUCUGCUACCUCUUCUAUCAGCACCAGCUCUAUGGCCCCUUUCUGAUUGUGGUGCCUUUGUCAACCCUAACCUCAUGGCAGAGGGAGUUUGAGAUCUGGGCCCCUGAGGUCAACGUGGUUGUGUACAUUGGAGAUCAGCUGAGCAGGAAUGCUAUCCGUGAGUAUGAGUGGGUCCAUUCUCAGACCAAACGGUUGAAGUUCAACGUGCUGAUUACAACCUAUGAGAUCCUCCUGAAAGACAAGGCCGUUUUGGGAAGCAUCAACUGGGCCUUCCUAGGAGUGGAUGAAGCCCACCGCUUGAAGAAUGACGAUUCUUUGCUCUACAAGACACUGAUCGACUUCAAGUCCAACCACCGCCUGCUCAUCACUGGGACACCCCUUCAGAAUUCCCUGAAGGAACUGUGGUCCCUGCUGCAAUUCAUCAUGCCAGAGAAGUUCGAAUCCUGGGAAGACUUUGAAGAGGACCAUGGCAAAGGACGAGAGAACGGGUACCAGAGCCUGCAUAAGGUCCUGGAGCCCUUUCUCCUGCGCAGGGUGAAGAAGGACGUGGAAAAAUCCCUCCCAGCCAAAGUAGAGCAGAUCCUGAGGGUGGAGAUGUCUGCCCUCCAGAAGCAGUAUUACAAAUGGAUUUUAACAAGGAAUUACAAAGCCCUGUCCAAGGGAACACGUGGCAGCACUUCUGGCUUCCUGAACAUCGUGAUGGAGCUGAAGAAAUGUUGCAAUCACUGUUACCUGAUCAAACCUCCAGAAGAGAAUGAGAGGGAAAACAGCCAGGAGAGGCUGCAGUCUUUAAUCAGGAGCAGUGGGAAACUCAUCCUUCUGGACAAACUGCUCAGCAGGCUCCGUGCGAGGGGCAACCGAGUCCUCAUCUUCUCCCAGAUGGUGAGAAUGUUGGACAUCUUGGCGGAAUAUCUGACCAUCAAGCACUACCCUUUCCAGCGCCUGGACGGUUCUAUCAAAGGAGAAAUCCGGAAGCAGGCUCUGGAUCAUUUCAACGCCGAAGGCUCGGAGGACUUCUGCUUUCUACUCUCCACACGUGCUGGCGGCCUGGGGAUCAACUUGGCGUCGGCUGACACAGUGGUGAUCUUCGAUUCGGACUGGAACCCCCAGAAUGACCUACAGGCUCAGGCUCGGGCUCAUCGGAUUGGCCAAAAGAAACAAGUAAAUAUCUAUCGCUUGGUUACAAAGGGAACAGUGGAAGAGGAGAUUAUAGAAAGAGCAAAGAAGAAAAUGGUGCUGGACCAUCUUGUGAUACAGCGAAUGGACACCACAGGCCGGACAGUUUUGGACAACAGCUCUGAUAGAUCCAAGACAAACCCCUUCAACAAGGAGGAACUGACCGCCAUUUUGAAAUUUGGAGCCGAAGAACUUUUUAAAGAACCCGAAGGGGAAGAAUCUGAACCACAAGAAAUGGACAUUGAGGAAAUCUUACGCCUGGCUGAGACACGAGAGAAUGAACCAUCCACAAGUGCAACAGACGAACUGCUUUCACAAUUUAAAGUAGCAAACUUUGCUACAACAGAAGAGGAAGAAGCCGAGGCGGAAGAGAAAUCUCAGAAGGAGUGGGAAAGCAUCAUUCCUGAGGAACAAAGGAAGAAAGUGGAAGAAGAGGAGCGGCAGAAAGAACUUGAGGAGAUAUACAUGCUGCCCAGGAUUCGCAGCUCAGCCAAAAAGGUAAUUUUUCUAGUCGAAUCAGAUGUUGAAAUAAAGAGGAAGCUCCAGAGGUCUUCGGGCUCAGAUACCGAGACAGAGGACUCUGAUGAUGACAAAAGGCCCAAACGCAGAGGACGCCCUCGCAGUGUUCGGAAGGACACAGUGGAAGGCUUUACAGACCCUGAAAUCAGAAGGUUGGCAGAGUCAAAAAUUUGCUAUGGAGCACCUUUAUUACGUUCCAUCUCCCUUUUUAGACUGGAAUGCCUCGCUCGGGAUGCUGAACUGGUAGAGAAAUCGGUAGCUGAUCUGAAACGUUUGGGAGAACUUCUCCAUAACAGUUGUGCUUCAGGGGGUGGUCAACCCAAGGGACCUGGGAAGAGAAAGGGGCCCACAAUUAAGAUCUCUGGAGUCCAGGUGAAUGUGAAAGCAAUUAUUCAACAUGAGGAGGAGUUUGCGAUGCUCCAUCAGACCAUUCCCAGUGACCCAGUGGAGAGGGCAAGGUUUCGUCUGAACUCCCGUGUCAAAUCUGCCCAUUUUGAUGUAGACUGGGGAGUGGAAGAGGAUUCUUCCUUGCUGCGGGGGAUUUAUGAGCAUGGAUGUGGGAACUGGGAGCUCAUCAAGUCAGACCCAGAACUGAACCUCACUGAAAAGAUUUUACCAGCUGAGACAGAUAAAAAGCCACAGGGGAAGCAGCUCCAGGCGCGAGUAGAUUAUCUGAUGAAGCUUAUCAAAAGAGACAUGAAGAGGAAAGAGAACCCGAACAAGACAGAGGAGGUCAGUUCCGUAACCAAGCUAAAUUUGCUCAAGUGGGCUUCAUUAAUGCUACGUAUUAUUUGGGAAGUUAGCCCAUGGAAAACUCAGCCCAAAGGCGCCGAGGCCAAACCCGGAAACCAAGGGAAGAAACUGCUGGGUCAGGGUCCCGUCCACAUUACGGCAGGAAGUGACCCUGUCCCCAUUGAAGAAGAGGAAGAGGAUGAGUUAGACCAUGCAACCUUCACCAUUUGCAAAGAGCUGAUGAGGCCAGUUAAGAAGUCCCUGAAGCAGCUGGAUAAGCCAGAAAGAGGACUUACAGACCACGACCAGCUGGAGCAAACACGGAGUUGCCUACUCAAGAUCGGAGACCACAUUGCUGAAUGUUUGAAAAUCCACACUGAACAGGAAGUCUUUAACGUAUGGAGAAGGAAUCUAUGGGUAUUUGUCUCCAAGUUUACUGAAUUUAAUGCCAAGAAAUUACAUAAGAUAUAUAAGAUGGCUAACAAAAAGCGAUCCCGGGAACAGGAGGUAAGAACAGAGGUGUGUGUGUUUGUGUUGUGCAGUAGAAUGCAAGGAAGGAGAGAGAGGGAAGGAAUGGGAACAUCUUGGGGACCUUGGAGGUCUUCUAAACCAACCCCCUACUCAAGCAGGAGACCCUAUCCCAUCUUGGACAAGUGGCUCUCCAGUCUCCAUUGGUGGACUUGCAUUGCUUUUUCUUCAAGUUGUCUGCCAAAUGCAACUGUGUGUGUGUGUGUGGGGGUCCCCUAG
Pseudonaja textilis is the source of this 3921-nucleotide long non-coding RNA. The record is from Ensembl. NCBI's taxonomy places the organism in Eukaryota, Metazoa, Chordata, Lepidosauria, Squamata, Elapidae.